Small nuclear RNA from Molossus molossus (Pallas's mastiff bat), 139 nucleotides. RefSeq annotates it as U4 spliceosomal RNA. The record is from RefSeq and is a predicted model, not a curated record. NCBI's taxonomy places the organism in Eukaryota, Metazoa, Chordata, Mammalia, Chiroptera, Molossidae. The transcript has a single exon.
GGCUUUGCACAGUGGCAGUAUUGUAGCCAAUGAGGUUUAUCUGAGGUACAAUUAUUGCUAAUUGAAAACUUUUCCCAAUACCCUGACGUGAUGACUUGAAAUAGUCGGCAUCGGCAAUUUUUGAUGGUCUCUACAGAGA